GACAGAGGGUGCAAACGUUGUUCGGAAUUACUGGGCGUAAAGCGCGUGUAGGUGGCCCUGCAAGUCGGGUGUGAAAUCCCACGGCUCAACCGUGGAAGUGCAUUCGAAACUGCAGGGCUAGAGUCCUGGAGAGGAAGGUGGAAUGCUUGGUGUAGAGGUGAAAUUCGUAGAUAUCAAGCGGAACACCGGUGGCGAAGGCGGCCUUCUGGACAGUGACUGACGCUGAGACGCGAAAGCGUGGGGAGCAAACAGG
This 253-nucleotide ribosomal RNA is filed under the name uncultured bacterium. RNAcentral's name for it is "partial 16S ribosomal RNA". It matches the Rfam family "Bacterial small subunit ribosomal RNA", at positions 524 to 776 of the family's 1533-position model. The record is from RNAcentral.